AUUGAACGCUGGCGGAAUGCUUUACACAUGCAAGUCGAACGGCAGCACGGGGCAACCUGGUGGCGAGUGGCGAACGGGUGAGUAAUACAUCGGGAACGUGCCCAAUCGUGGGGGAUAACGCAGCGAAAGCUGUGCUAAUACCGCAUACGAUCUACGGAUGAAAGCGGGGGAUCGCAAGACCUCGCGCGGACGGAGCGGCCGAUGGCAGAUUAGGUAGUUGGUGGGAUAAAAGCUUACCAAGCCGACGAUCUGUAGCUGGUCUGAGAGGACGACCAGCCACACUGGGACUGAGACACGGCCCAGACUCCUACGGGAGGCAGCAGUGGGGAAUUUUGGACAAUGGGCGCAAGCCUGAUCCAGCCAUGCCGCGUGCAGGAUGAAGGCCUUCGGGUUGUAAACUGCUUUUGUACGGAACGAAAAAGCUCUCUCUAAUACAGGGGGUGAAUGACGGUACCGUAAGAAUAAGCACCGGCUAACUACGUG
This 483-nucleotide ribosomal RNA is filed under the name uncultured bacterium. Its description in RNAcentral is "bacterial SSU rRNA". It matches the Rfam family "Bacterial small subunit ribosomal RNA", at positions 29 to 507 of the family's 1533-position model. The record is from RNAcentral.